AUUGAACGCUGGCGGCAGGCCUAACACAUGCAAAUCGAGCGGCUGAAGGGAGCUUGCUCCUGGAUUCAGCGGCGGACGGGUGAGUAAUGCCUAGGAAUCUGCCUGGUAGUGGGGGAUAACGUCCGGAAACGGGCGCUAAUACCGCAUACGUCCUGAGGGAGAAAGUGGGGGAUCUUCGGACCUCCCGCUAUCACAUGAGCCUAGGUCGGAUUAGCUAGUUGGUGGGGUAAAGGCCUACCAAGGCGACGAUCCGUAACUGGUCUGAGAGGAUGAUCAGUCACACUGGAACUGAGACACGGUCCAGACUCCUACGGGAGGCAGCAGUGGGGAAUAUUGGACAAUGGGCGAAAGCCUGAUCCAGCCAUGCCGCGUGUGUGAAGAAGGUCUUCGGAUUGUAAAGCACUUUAAGUUGGGAGGAAGGGCAGUAAGUUAAUACCUUGCUGUUUUGACGUUACCAACAGAAUAAGCACCGGCUAACUUCGUG
RNAcentral lists this ribosomal RNA (484 nucleotides) under uncultured bacterium. RNAcentral describes it as "partial 16S ribosomal RNA". It matches the Rfam family "Bacterial small subunit ribosomal RNA", at positions 30 to 507 of the family's 1533-position model. The record is from RNAcentral.